CCUACGGGAGGCAGCAGUGAGGAAUAUUGGUCAAUGGGCGCGAGCCUGAACCAGCCAAGUCGCGUGAGGGAAGACGGUCCUAUGGAUUGUAAACCUCUUUUGUCGGGGAGCAAAAGACGCCACGCGUGGCGUUCCGAGAGUACCCGAACAAAAAGCAUCGGCUAACUCCGUGCCAGCAGCCGCGGUAAUACGGAGGAUGCGAGCGUUAUCCGGAUUUAUUGGGUUUAAAGGGUGCGCAGGCGGAGGUGCAAGUCAGCGGUAAAAUUGCGGGGCUCAACCCCGUACUGCCGUUGAAACUGCAUCCCUUGAGUGCGCGAGAAGUAUGCGGAAUGCGUGGUGUAGCGGUGAAAUGCAUAGAUAUCACGCAGAACUCCGAUUGCGAAGGCAGCAGACCGGCGCGCAACUGACGCUCAUGCACGAAAGCGUGGGUAUCGAACAGGAUUAGAUACCCUGGUAGUC
Molecule: ribosomal RNA, 459 nt
Filed under: uncultured bacterium
Lineage: Bacteria
Description: partial 16S ribosomal RNA
Rfam family: Bacterial small subunit ribosomal RNA
Source: RNAcentral